GAUGAACGCUGGCGGCGUGCCUAAUACAUGCAAGUCGAGCGAACGGACGAGAAGCUUGCUUCUCUGAUGUUAGCGGCGGACGGGUGAGUAACACGUGGAUAACCUACCUAUAAGACUGGGAUAACUUCGGGAAACCGGAGCUAAUACCGGAUAAUAUUUUGAACCGCAUGGUUCAAAAGUGAAAGACGGUCUUGCUGUCACUUAUAGAUGGAUCCGCGCUGCAUUAGCUAGUUGGUAAGGUAACGGCUUACCAAGGCAACGAUGCAUAGCCGACCUGAGAGGGUGAUCGGCCACACUGGAACUGAGACACGGUCCAGACUCCUACGGGAGGCAGCAGUAGGGAAUCUUCCGCAAUGGGCGAAAGCCUGACGGAGCAACGCCGCGUGAGUGAUGAAGGUCUUCGGAUCGUAAAACUCUGUUAUUAGGGAAGAACAUAUGUGUAAGUAACUGUGCACAUCUUGACGGUACCUAAUCAGAAAGCCACGGCUAACUACGUGCCAGCAGCCGCGGUAAUACGUAGGUGGCAAGCGUUAUCCGGAAUUAUUGGGCGUAAAGCGCGCGUACGCGGUUUUUUAAGUCUGAUGUGAAAGCCCACGGCUCAACCGUGGAGGGUCAUUGGAAACGUGGAAAACUUGAGUGCAGAAGAGGAAAGUGGAAUUCCAUGUGUAGCGGUGAAAUGCGCAGAGAUAUGGAGGAACACCAGUGGCGAAGGCGACUUUCUGGUCUGUAACUGACGCUGAUGUGCGAAAGCGUGGGGAUCAAACAGGAUUAGAUACCCUGGUAGUCCACGCCGUAAACGAUGAGUGCUAAGUGUUAGGGGGUUUCCGCCCCUUAGUGCUGCAGCUAACGCAUUAAGCACUCCGCCUGGGGAGUACGACCGCAAGGUUGAAACUCAAAGGAAUUGACGGGGACCCGCACAAGCGGUGGAGCAUGUGGUUUAAUUCGAAGCAACGCGAAGAACCUUACCAAAUCUUGACAUCCUUUGACAACUCUAGAGAUAGAGCCUUCCCCUUCGGGGGACAAAGUGACAGGUGGUGCAUGGUUGUCGUCAGCUCGUGUCGUGAGAUGUUGGGUUAAGUCCCGCAACGAGCGCAACCCUUAAGCUUAGUUGCCAUCAUUAAGUUGGGCACUCUAAGUUGACUGCCGGUGACAAACCGGAGGAAGGUGGGGAUGACGUCAAAUCAUCAUGCCCCUUAUGAUUUGGGCUACACACGUGCUACAAUGGACAAUACAAAGGGCAGCGAAACCGCGAGGUCAAGCAAAUCCCAUAAAGUUGUUCUCAGUUCGGAUUGUAGUCUGCAACUCGACUACAUGAAGCUGGAAUCGCUAGUAAUCGUAGAUCAGCAUGCUACGGUGAAUACGUUCCCGGGUCU
This 1373-nucleotide ribosomal RNA is filed under the name uncultured bacterium. RNAcentral describes it as "bacterial SSU rRNA". It matches the Rfam family "Bacterial small subunit ribosomal RNA", at positions 28 to 1381 of the family's 1533-position model. The record is from RNAcentral.